RNAcentral lists this long non-coding RNA (596 nucleotides) under Citrus sinensis (sweet orange). RNAcentral's name for it is "long non-coding RNA (CSIN_LNC002270)". The record is from RNAcentral. Lineage: Eukaryota; Viridiplantae; Streptophyta; Magnoliopsida; Sapindales; Rutaceae.
CCAAUUAGUCUUAACAAAUUAAUUUUCUCCAGAUUUAUUUCCUUGCAUUUACUUACCCGCCAGUACUUCUAUCUGUUUUCUCUUCACAGGAUGAAGGCAAUUAUUGGAAAAAUAUCGGACAAGGCUAUGUUGUGUUUGACAGGUCUUCUCAAGAGGGUCGAGUUGAUUUAUGUUAAGAGGUGUGAAUGAACUUGAGUUGAUGAGAUUUCUUCUAAAGAAUGGACAGUGCUGCAGAGAAUGAGUUUCAGCUGGGCGGAAGACUUCGAGAAUCGCAGGGAGAUUAUCUCAAGGGUAAUGAAGUUUUCCAGAUCAUCUUCAAGUGUUGCUCUCAAAUUCUUUGAUCCUAAUCGAGGGAAUGUUUUGUUUUUUCAAGAUCUAAUUAAGAUGACAGGCUUGGGAGGAAAAACAUGCGAUAGAAAAUUUGUAAGUUUAUACGUAUUUGUUCGAAGUAACAUUCUUUUGGAUUUGAGGAAACAACGUCAAUUGCAAUGACGGCCUAAUGCUUUAUUUGAAGCACCAACUACCUAAUUAUCUUUUGAAUUGAUAUAUUGCUCAACGAGUCAGUUCUGUCCUAGUUGAUGAAUUUUACUAUUCAU